UAGUAGAAAUCCUAUACAGUCAGCGGUUAUCAGCGCGGGCGCUCAUUUUAUUUUUUAAUUGAACUGCGCAUGUGCAGUUCAGAUGUGAUUUAUUAUUCAAAAUGGCGGAAGAGAAGCGACUUCGCGAAGGAGACGGCUUUUAUCGUCAACUUAACGAGGCAAAUUCGGGUGAACUGUUGUGGAGAGGCAUUCAAAAAAGAAAAAAGACACGGAGGAAUGGGGAUCCAACAUUUUAUCCAGUUGAAAGAGUUGUUUCACGGCAAAUAAACAAUGGAAAGACACAAUAUCUCUUAAAGUGGACAGGAUACAGUGCCUAUGAGAGUUCUUGGGUGGACGAAGAUGAUCUGAGUGCUGAUCUUGUUAGGCAUGUAUUUUACAAAAUUGCAUCAGAAAGGAUUCCCCUUUCUUUAGUGUCAGCGAAGCCUUUCGAGUUAGAAAAACGAGCAAGUCUUAAAUCUUUUUUUGUUUUGUUUCCACCUUAGGAAUUUUGACAGCCCACAAGUGGAGACUUCACGCCUUCAAGGCAAUUUAGAUCGGCUGAGAGAGGCGAUGGAGGCAAAGCUUAAGA
Nematostella vectensis (starlet sea anemone) is the source of this 568-nucleotide long non-coding RNA. RefSeq lists it as uncharacterized. The record is from RefSeq and is a predicted model, not a curated record. The transcript is spliced from 2 exons. Lineage: Eukaryota; Metazoa; Cnidaria; Anthozoa; Actiniaria; Edwardsiidae.